RNAcentral lists this ribosomal RNA (506 nucleotides) under Parvotettix sp. MC1. RNAcentral describes it as "partial 16S ribosomal RNA". It matches the Rfam family "Bacterial large subunit ribosomal RNA", at positions 1831 to 2596 of the family's 2925-position model. Lineage: Eukaryota; Metazoa; Arthropoda; Insecta; Orthoptera; Rhaphidophoridae. The record is from RNAcentral.
UUUUUGAUUUAAAUUUAAGGUUUGACCUGCCCACUGAGUAAUUUUAAAGGGCCGCGGUAUUUAUAACCGUGCAAAGGUAGCAUAAUCAUUAGUCUUUUAAUUGAAGACUGGAAUGAACGGUUUAACGAAACAUUAACUGUCUCAUAAUAAUUAUUUGAAUUUGAUUUUUUGGUUAAAAAGCUAAAAUUUAAUUAGAGGACGAGAAGACCCUAUAGAGUUUUAUAUAAGUUAUUAUAUUUAAUAUUUAGUAAUUUUAUAUAUUUAUGAUUUUUUAUAUUUUAUUGGGGUGAUAAGAAGAAUUAAGUAACUCUUUGUUUAUAUUAACAUUAAUUUAUGAUUGAAUGAUCCAUAAAUAAUGAUUAGAAGAUUAAAUUACCUUAGGGAUAACAGCGUAAUUUUUUUUGAGAGUUCUUAUCGACAAAAAGGAUUGCGACCUCGAUGUUGGAUUAAGGAAUAUAUUUGGGUGUAGAAGCUUAAAUUAUAGGUCUGUUCGACCUUUAAAUCCU